Molecule: long non-coding RNA, 954 nt
Organism: Triticum dicoccoides
Lineage: Eukaryota; Viridiplantae; Streptophyta; Magnoliopsida; Poales; Poaceae
Exons: 3
Source: RefSeq, a predicted model, not a curated record
CGCGGCAACCGCGGGCGCAGCCGCUCGCCCCCCUGGUGCCGCCCCCAACGAGCCCUUCAUCUGCAGCUUCGAGAAGGACAUGACAGUGAUCUUCAGAAGGAGGGAGGUUGCGAUCUUGUUCAGAAUUCUGUUGAGUGGAUAAAAAUUGUUUCCUCGGCACCAGAUGUCAUAGGCAUGACAUUUCUCCCUAUUGUUUCACUCGUUGAUGAUAUACCUGGGAAGAAGCACAUUGCUCGUGCCAUUAAUCUAUACUUAACACAUGCACCUGAUUCCCUUUUUGGACUGUAUUCUCAAAGCCCAUCCGCCAUAAACCUGAGCUGUUGUUUUAAAUUAUAUUGCCAUCUAUAUAUUAUAGUAGCAGAGUCUCUGCACAAUUAUUCUAUUUGAAGUAUGUAUUCAAAAAUAUGUUUUAGUAAGGGUGAUGUAUUGAUGAUCAAGAUAGACACAUCUUUCCUACAGUUAGAAUGUCGAUCGUGAUUAAAUAGGCAGCUCAAUACAGUAGUAUAGCUAUUGAAGGACGCGGAUUUGGUGAAAACGGUUCCACGCGCACCCCUUAUGAAUAGUAAAUUCAAAAAAAUUACUACAACAACAACAAAAAAUCCUUUAGUCCCAAACAAGUUGGGGUAGGCUAGACGUAAACCCAAAAAAUCUGAAUAUUUUUUCUAACGUACUUAGUCAACCGAUAUACCCUCAUAUGAAGUUUCACAAAGAAAUUACAUCCUUGCUAUCCGGGCAGAAAUGACAAAAUCGUAGCUUCAUGUGUAGAUUGCAGUCACAAUGGCGAGCUGUCCGGCCAUGUCUGCAAGGCCAAAGCAGCAGAGUUGAAGGAGAUCUUAUGGAUCAAGGUGAGUAUGGAGAGAGAAAGGUUGAAGACGUGCAAUGGAAAAUUGUUAUUAGAUUUGCUUAAGAAUUGCCUUAUUCAAACAAAAUUGAAGCAUAUUACGUGUUGAAGCA